GCAGAAGUGGCGGAAUUGGCAGACGCGCACGGUUCAGGUCCGUGUGGUAGCAAUACUGUGAGGGUUCAAGUCCCUUCUUCUGCA
Molecule: transfer RNA, 84 nt
Filed under: Hungatella effluvii
Lineage: Bacteria; Bacillati; Bacillota; Clostridia; Lachnospirales; Lachnospiraceae
Also listed under: 2 other names
Description: tRNA-Leu
Rfam family: tRNA
About the family: Transfer RNA (tRNA) molecules are approximately 80 nucleotides in length. Their secondary structure includes four short double-helical elements and three loops (D, anti-codon, and T loops). Further hydrogen bonds mediate the characteristic L-shaped molecular structure. tRNAs have two regions of fundamental functional importance: the anti-codon, which is responsible for specific mRNA codon recognition, and the 3' end, to which the tRNAs corresponding amino acid is attached (by aminoacyl-tRNA synthetases). tRNAs cope with the degeneracy of the genetic code in two manners: having more than one tRNA (with a specific anti-codon) for a particular amino acid; and 'wobble' base-pairing, i.e. permitting non-standard base-pairing at the 3rd anti-codon position.
Source: RNAcentral